This 27-nucleotide non-coding RNA is filed under the name Rattus norvegicus (Norway rat). The record is from RNAcentral. Lineage: Eukaryota; Metazoa; Chordata; Mammalia; Rodentia; Muridae.
UUGCAGGAUACUUCAAGUCUAAACUGC